Molecule: ribosomal RNA, 397 nt
Filed under: uncultured bacterium
Lineage: Bacteria
Description: partial 16S ribosomal RNA
Rfam family: Bacterial small subunit ribosomal RNA
Source: RNAcentral
AUACGUAGGGGGCGAGCGUUGUCCGGAAUGAUUGGGUGUAAAGGGCGUGUAGGCGGUUUGGCAGGUCAGAAGUGAAAUUCCCGGGCUUAACUUGGGCGCUGCUUCUGAAACUGCUUAACUUGAGUGCUGGAGAGGAUAGUGGAAUUUCUAGUGAAGCGGUAAAAUGCACAGAUAUUAGGAGGAACACCGGUGGCGAAGGCGGCUAUCUGGACAAUAACUGACGCUGAGGCGCGAAAGCACGGGGAGCAAACAGGAUUAGAUACCCUGGUAGUCCGUGCCGUAAACGAUGAAUACUAGGUGUAGGGGGUAUCGACUCCCUCUGUGCCGCAGUUAACACAUUAAGUAUUCCACCUGGGGAGUACGGCCGCAAGGUUGAAACUCAAAGGAAUUGACGGGG